UGCAUAUCUCAAAAGCGGAGGAAAAGAAACCAACAGGGAUUGCCUUAGUACGGCGAGUGAAGCGGCAAAAGCUCAAAUUUGAAAUCUGGCACCUUCGGUGUCCGAGUUGUAAUUUGAAGAAGGUAACUUUGGAGUUAGCUCUUGUCUAUGUUCCUUGGAACAGGACGUCACAGAGGGUGAGAAUCCCGUGCGAUGAGAUGUCUAACUCUAUGUAAAGUGCUUUCGAAGAGUCGAGUUGUUUGGGAAUGCAGCUCUAAGUGGGUGGUAAAUUCCAUCUAAAGCUAAAUAUUGGCGAGAGACCGAUAGCGAACAAGUACAGUGAUGGAAAGAUGAAAAGAACUUUGAAAAGAGAGUGAAAAAGUACGUGAAAUUGUUGAAAGGGAAGGGUUUGAGAUCAGACUUGGUAUUUUGUAUGUCUUGCUUUCGGGUGGGGCCUCUGCAGUUUACUGGGCCAGCAUCGGUUUGGAUGGUAGGAUAAUGACAUUGGAAUGUGGCACUACUUCGGUGGUGUGUUAUAGACUUUGUUGAUACUGCCUGUCUAGACCGAGGACUGCGUCUUUGACUAGGAUGCUGGCAUAAUGAUCCUAAACCGCCCGUCUUGAAACACGAACCA
This 613-nucleotide ribosomal RNA is filed under the name Scheffersomyces tanahashii. RNAcentral describes it as "partial large subunit ribosomal RNA". It matches the Rfam family "Eukaryotic large subunit ribosomal RNA", at positions 37 to 668 of the family's 3401-position model. Lineage: Eukaryota; Fungi; Ascomycota; Pichiomycetes; Serinales; Debaryomycetaceae. The record is from RNAcentral.